CGAAUGGCGUAAUGAUGGCCAGGCUGUCUCCACCCGAGACUCAGUGAAAUUGAACUCGCUGUGAAGAUGCAGUGUACCCGCGGCAAGACGGAAAGACCCCGUGAACCUUUACUAUAGCUUGACACUGAACAUUGAGCCUUGAUGUGUAGGAUAGGUGGGAGGCUUUGAAGUGUGGACGCCAGUCUGCAUGGAGCCGACCUUGAAAUACCACCCUUUAAUGUUUGAUGUUCUAACGUGGACCCGUAAUCCGGGUUGCGGACAGUGUCUGGUGGGUAGUUUGACUGGGGCGGUCUCCUCCUAAAGAGUAACGGAGGAGCACGAAGGUUGGCUAAUCCUGGUCGGACAUCAGGAGGUUAGUGCAAUGGCAUAAGC
RNAcentral lists this ribosomal RNA (372 nucleotides) under Escherichia coli. RNAcentral's name for it is "partial 23S ribosomal RNA". It matches the Rfam family "Bacterial large subunit ribosomal RNA", at positions 1993 to 2364 of the family's 2925-position model. The record is from RNAcentral. Lineage: Bacteria; Pseudomonadati; Pseudomonadota; Gammaproteobacteria; Enterobacterales; Enterobacteriaceae.